CAAUAGCGUAUAUUAACGUUGUUGCAGUUAAAAAGCUCGUAGUUGGAUUUCUGGAGGGAGCGUCGGCCCGUAUUUACGAGUGCGUGACGUCUCUGUCCAUCCUUGCGGGAAGGCACGGCAUUGAUUUGUUGUGUCGGAUCGCAUCAUUUACUGUGAAAAAAUUAGAGUGUUCAAAGCAGGCUUUCGCUUGAAUACAUUAGCAUGGAAUAAUAAGAUAGGACUUUGGUGCUAUUUUGUUGGUUGAGCCUAAAGUAAUGAUUAAUAGGGAUAGUUGGGGGCACCUGUAUUGCGUUGUCAGAGGUGAAAUUCUUGGAUUUACGCAAGACAAACGGCUGCGAANGNGUCUGCNAAGGAUGUUUNCAUUA
Molecule: ribosomal RNA, 365 nt
Filed under: uncultured eukaryote
Lineage: Eukaryota
Description: partial 18S ribosomal RNA
Rfam family: Eukaryotic small subunit ribosomal RNA
Source: RNAcentral